This 497-nucleotide ribosomal RNA is filed under the name uncultured bacterium. RNAcentral's name for it is "partial 16S ribosomal RNA". It matches the Rfam family "Bacterial small subunit ribosomal RNA", at positions 28 to 507 of the family's 1533-position model. The record is from RNAcentral.
GAUGAACGCUGGCGGCGUGCCUAAUACAUGCAAGUCGAGCGAACAGACGAGGAGCUUGCUCCUCUGACGUUAGCGGCGGACGGGUGAGUAACACGUGGAUAACCUACCUAUAAGACUGGGAUAACUUCGGGAAACCGGAGUUAAUACCGGAUAAUGUAUUGAACCGCAUGGUUCAAUAGUGAAAGACGGUUUUGCUGUCACUUAUAGAUGGAUCCGCGCCGCAUUAGCUAGUUGGUAAGGUAACGGCUUACCAAGGCAACGAUGCGUAGCCGACCUGAGAGGGUGAUCGGCCACACUGGAACUGAGACACGGUCCAGACUCCUACGGGAGGCAGCAGUAGGGAAUCUUCCGCAAUGGGCGAAAGCUUGACGGAGCAACGCCGCGUGAGUGAUGAAGGUCUUCGGAUCGUAAAACUCUGUUAUUAGGGAAGAACAAAUGUGUAAGUAACUAUGCACGUCUUGACGGUACCUAAUCAGAAAGCCACGGCUAACUACGUG